RNAcentral lists this ribosomal RNA (497 nucleotides) under uncultured bacterium. RNAcentral describes it as "partial 16S ribosomal RNA". It matches the Rfam family "Bacterial small subunit ribosomal RNA", at positions 28 to 507 of the family's 1533-position model. The record is from RNAcentral.
GAUGAACGCUGGCGGCGUGCCUAAUACAUGCAAGUCGAGCGAACAGACGAGUAGCUUGCUCCUCUGACGUUAGCGGCGGACGGGUGAGUAACACGUGGAUAACCUACCUAUAAGACUGGGAUAACUUCGGGAAACCGGAGCUAAUACCGGAUAAUAUAUUGAACCGCAUGGUUCAAUAGUGAAAGACGGUUUUGCUGUCACUUAUAGAUGGAUCCGCGCCGCAUUAGCUAGUUGGUAAGGUAACGGCUUACCAAGGCGACGAUGCGUAGCCGACCUGAGAGGGUAAUCGGCCACACUGGAACUGAGACACGGUCCAGACUCCUACGGGAGGCAGCAGUAGGGAAUCUUCCGCAAUGGGCGAAAGCCUGACGGAGCAACGCCGCGUGAGUGAUGAAGGUCUUCGGAUCGUAAAACUCUGUUAUUAGGGAAGAACAAAUGUGUAAGUAACUAUGCACGUCUUGACGGUACCUAAUCAGAAAGCCACGGCUAACUACGUG